AUGCUCAUAAGCUCUCCUAUUACCGGUACGUCAUCAGGUAACGUUGUUGCUGGACUUAAAAUGGAGUCAGGUGCUUCUGCUAGUACAUCUGGGUCCAGCAUGAAGGUCAGUAAUAUAUUGAAUCUUUCUGGUGGCACUGUCAUGACAUGGUAUACUUGUCAAUCAGAAAAUAUGCCAUGCAUACAUAUUUGACAACUAUGGUUCACAGGUAUAGGCAAAGUAGAAUAGAAUAGCAUUAACUUGCCCUAUUCUUUUUUCCUCGUGUUUGUGCUUGUGAAUCUUAGAUUUGGAUCUUGUCAGUUACAUCUAUUUACUUUUAUUGCCAUAUCUUACUUCCUUGUCUUGCUUUCUUUGUUGACUAACUGACAUUAGAUGCAUUGUUCCUUUUGGAUUUAAAUUUUCUUGUUUUAUAUUUGUUUUUGGUCAGCAUUUUCAUGGCGUUGAUACACUUUGCACAUUAUGAUGAUCCCAUUUCUAAUGUAUUUUUAAUUAUUUUUUUUAGUCAACCAAACAUGGGAAUUGACAUUUUGAUGGAAUGACUUUUUAUUGCACUUCAUUCCAGUGAUCAGUGUACCAAACACUACCUCAAUUCUUCAACAUUUCCAUGUGAAAAUCUAAAGUAAUUGAGUGCAUCUUCAAUAAUCUUCAACCAAAUUUUGGGGAACUGUGUGAUCUUAUCAUAAUUAGGGUCGCCAUUUGGGUGAAGUCUCAGUUAAAAGGAUAUUUUUAUUCAGCUAAUGAGAUGGUGCAUAAUUUGCAAUAGGUGAGGAGGAGCAUUGGAUUUUCAAUCAGGUUGUAGAGGUUUUCUCAGAUGGGAGUGAGCAAGCUGGAGUAUGAUCUGGUUUUGUGUUGUUUUUUCCUUGCUACGUUGGUUCCUCACCAACUCUUGAUGGUGUGCUAGUGUGCUUAUCGGUGCCAACCUCAUUCCUCGGCUCAAUUUAUCCAUCAAUUCAAUCUCAAACCUUCAAAUCCCAAACUCAACAGGAUGCAACCCUUGAGUAUGUGAUGAUAUCUUCAUAUAUUGAUAUUGGAGCUUAUUAUUGAUAUCAAAACAAGCUAUAAUAUGUAUGUUUUUUUUAUAUUUAUGUUGUCGAUACUUUUAUUUUGUUUUAGAUACAAAAAUUUGAGUUCUUGAAUACAAAAAAUUAUUAGUGUUGUUGGAGGAUGUUUUAUAUAUUUUUGUAAAGAAUAUUUGGUUGACAAUUAUUACAGGGUACAUAUAUA
Molecule: non-coding RNA, 1224 nt
Organism: Camellia sinensis
Lineage: Eukaryota; Viridiplantae; Streptophyta; Magnoliopsida; Ericales; Theaceae
Source: RefSeq, a predicted model, not a curated record